AACGCACAUUGCGCCCGCUAGUAUUCUGGCGGGCAUGCCUGUCCGAGCGUCAUUUCAACCCAUCAAGCCUAGCGCUUGUGUUGGAGCCCUGCGGCCGCCGCAGCCUCCCAAAAGUAGUGGCGGGCUCGCUAUCACGCUGAGUGCAGUAGUAUUCUUCUCACUCCUGUUGUGUAGCGGGUAACCAGCCGUAAAAUAACUCCCAAAAUGUUGACCUCGGAUCAGGUAGGAAUACCCGCUGAACUUAA
This 245-nucleotide unclassified non-coding RNA is filed under the name uncultured Podospora. Its description in RNAcentral is "sequence contains ITS2". The record is from RNAcentral. Lineage: Eukaryota; Fungi; Ascomycota; Sordariomycetes; Sordariales; Lasiosphaeriaceae.